AGCUUUGCAUAGUGGCAGUAUGACAGCCAAUAAGGUUUAUCUGAGGCACAAUUAUUGCUAAUUGAAAAAAUAUAGAAAUUAUCCCUAACUUGUUGGCUGUACAAAAACAAGCACAUUUGGCCCACAGGCC
Small nuclear RNA from Pteropus vampyrus (large flying fox), 130 nucleotides. Its record names the gene U4. It matches the Rfam family "U4 spliceosomal RNA". From Rfam's summary of the family: U4 small nuclear RNA (U4 snRNA) is a component of the major U2-dependent spliceosome. The structure of U4 snRNA from yeast and human has been reported. U4 snRNA presents a k-turn RNA motif in the 5p-SL related to recognition of Snu13 protein. The record is from Ensembl. NCBI's taxonomy places the organism in Eukaryota, Metazoa, Chordata, Mammalia, Chiroptera, Pteropodidae.